RNAcentral lists this transfer RNA (83 nucleotides) under Talaromyces pinophilus. RNAcentral describes it as "tRNA-Ser (TGA) (tRNA-Ser-TGA-1-1)". It matches the Rfam family "tRNA". From Rfam's summary of the family: Transfer RNA (tRNA) molecules are approximately 80 nucleotides in length. Their secondary structure includes four short double-helical elements and three loops (D, anti-codon, and T loops). Lineage: Eukaryota; Fungi; Ascomycota; Eurotiomycetes; Eurotiales; Trichocomaceae. The record is from RNAcentral.
GGCCAGAUGGCGGAGUGGUCUAACGCGCCAGACUUGAAUUCAGAAACUAAUGUUAAAAUAGUGUUCGAAUCACACUCUGGUCG